This 627-nucleotide long non-coding RNA is filed under the name Malus domestica (apple). Its description in RNAcentral is "long non-coding RNA (MDOM_LNC007945)". The record is from RNAcentral. Lineage: Eukaryota; Viridiplantae; Streptophyta; Magnoliopsida; Rosales; Rosaceae.
AGUUUGGCGAGAGUUCAAAUUGAAGGUGCGGAUACACAAAAAUAUGUAUUGAGAAUAUGGCCAUUUAAACUAAAACCACAAGCACAGGUUCCAAUCAAAGCAAGGCAGUGUUGAGUUUCAGACACUGCAAAUCGAAUUUCGGGUUUAAAUACUUUUAACAUUCGGACACAUUCCCAACAAAAAUACACAAAAACGAGACCGGCAAUACCCAGCAUUCGUUUAAAGAAAACAAAACACUACAUCCUAUUGGCCAUAGUACGAUGUUAAAGCAUGAAUGUUUAUUAGGUAUGAAUCAUUUCAAACUAUAUUUUACAUUAGUGUCCUUAGAGAUAUGUCAAUUAAAAUAUGUCAUACAUUAGUGCAUGAAUGCUUUAAAAGGUUCAAUUAUAAGAAAUUCUACUUAUAAUUUGUACUAUAAAUGAGCAACACAACGAAUGAUAUCCGAACCUUUUUAGGAGUUUAGGGUGGACUGCUUCUAUAGAAAGGCACUAACCUAUGCUUAUUGUAAUCACCCAAGUAGGCAAGCAAGAGAGAAGCAAGAAGAGAAGCAAAGUAAGCAAGUAGCUUGCAAGAAUCAAGAAGUGAGUUUCACUCUAAGUGUGAGGGUGAGAAUCAAAUAAGAGUGUG